Molecule: unclassified non-coding RNA, 548 nt
Filed under: Phoma sp. OGN-B1
Lineage: Eukaryota; Fungi; Ascomycota; Dothideomycetes; Pleosporales; Didymellaceae
Description: partial contains 18S rRNA, ITS1, 5.8S rRNA, ITS2 and 28S rRNA
Rfam family: 5.8S ribosomal RNA (bases 174-327)
Source: RNAcentral
GGUUUCCGUAGGUGAACCUCNNGCAGGNUCANUACCUAGAGUUUGUGGNNNUUGCCUGCUAUCUCUUACCCAUGUCUUUUGAGUACUUACGUUUCCUCGGUGGGUUCGCCCGCCGAUUGGACAAUUUAAACCCUUUGCAGUUGCAAUCAGCGUCUGAAAAACAUAAUAGUUACAACUUUCAACAACGGAUCUCUUGGUUCUGGCAUCGAUGAAGAACGCAGCGAAAUGCGAUAAGUAGUGUGAAUUGCAGAAUUCAGUGAAUCAUCGAAUCUUUGAACGCACAUUGCGCCCCUUGGUAUUCCAUGGGGCAUGCCUGUUCGAGCGUCAUUUGUACCUUCAAGCAUUGCUUGGUGUUGGGUGUUUGUCUCGCCUUUGCGUGUAGACUCCCCCUUAAAACAAUUGGCAGCCNGCGCUAUUGAUUUCGGAGCGCANUACAUCUCGCGCUUUGCACUCAUAACGACCGACGUCCAAAAGUACAUUUUAACACUCUNGACCUCGGAUCAGGUAGGGAUACNCNCCUGAACUUAANCAUAUCAUNAAGNGGAGGA